RNAcentral lists this long non-coding RNA (343 nucleotides) under Zea mays. Its description in RNAcentral is "long non-coding RNA (ZMAY_LNC005038)". Lineage: Eukaryota; Viridiplantae; Streptophyta; Magnoliopsida; Poales; Poaceae. The record is from RNAcentral.
ACCUGAACAGCUCCUAAGAAGGUUUGUUUUGCUUUUGUUUGAUUUUAUUUUUCAUAUGUUAUCUACAUGCUUCACCUCUGUUCAGUGUUGACUCGUUGCUCUACAUCAUCCUCUGUCAGAUCUCACUGCAUGCCGAGUAGAAGCGUGUCACUUGGACCUCGGUUCAGGCAAAGAUUCUGGUCACUGGGAAGUUAACUGUCAACGAUUAAGGUCCUGUUUAGAAUCAACCCAGUUUUUAUCUUUUAGCUAGUAGAGAUUAGCUUCUUGGUUUUUAAAAAAUUAAGAAUCUAAUUUCUAUAAACUGAGUCAUAAACUGAUAUGUUGUGAACCACAUCAAUUUCUA